CGGAAACCACUGGAAAGUGGUACCAAAGAGGGUGAUAGUCCCGUAUGGGUAACGAGUAUAAUAGAUAGUGGUAUCCUGAGUAGGGCGGGACACGAGAAAUCCUGUCUGAAUUUGGCGGGACCAUCCGCUAAGGCUAAAUACUCCUGAGAGACCGAUAGUGAACCAGUACCGUGAGGGAAAGGUGAAAAGAACCGUGAAUAACGGAGUGAAAUAGAUCCUGAAACCAUACGCUUACAAGCGGUCGGAGCCCUUUAGUGGGGUGACGGCGUGCCUUUUGCAUAAUGAGCCUACGAGUUAACGUUGCUGGCAAGGAUAAGUGGUUAAGUCACGGAUCCGUAGCGAAAGCGAGUCUGAAUAGGGCGCUUUAGUCAGUAGUGUUAGACGCGAAACCGUGUGAUCUACCCAUGGGCAGGUUGAAGCUGUGGUAACACACAGUGGAGGACCGAACCGGUUGACGUUGAAAAGUCUUCGGAUGACCUGUGGGUAGGGGUGAAAGGCCAAUCAAACUCGGAAAUAGCUCGUACUCCCCGAAAUGCAUUUAGGUGCAGCGUUAUGCGUAAAGUUAUAUAGAGGUAGAGCUACUGAUUGGAUGCGGGGGCUUCACCGCCUACCAAUUCCUGACAAACUCCGAAUGCUAUAUAAUGUUUACCAGCAGUGAGGGCUUGGGUGCUAAGGUCCAAGUCCGAGAGGGAAAGAACCCAGACCAUCAGCUAAGGUCCCCAAAUCUAUACUAAGUUGAAAGAACGAGGUUUGUCUGCCCAGACAGCUAGGAUGUUGGCUUGGAAGCAGCCAUUCAUUUAAAGAGUGCGUAACAGCUCACUAGUCGAGCGGACGAGCAUGGAUAAUAAUCGGGCAUAAGUAUAGUACCGAAGCUAUGGAUUUGUAUUAUAUACAAGUGGUAGGGGAGCAUUCUAACAGGGUAGAAGGUGUAUCGUAAGGUAUGCUGGACUGGUUAGAAAAGAAAAUGUAGGCAUAAGUAACGAUAAUGCGGGCGAGAAACCCGCACACCGAAAGACUAAGGUUUCCACAGCUAUGCUAAUCAGCUGUGGGUUAGUCGGGACCUAAGGCGAACCCGAAAGGGACAGUCGAUGGACAACGGGUUAAUAUUCCCGUACUAGUUAUUACUGUGAUGGGGUGACGGAGUGAUGAAAGCGCCGCGAACUGACGGAAUAGUUCGUUGAAGUACCUACCUAUAAGCUGCGCAGGCAAAUCCACGCGGCUUGGGGAAAUACGAUAGUACUCGGAGUCUUCGGACAAAGAGAUAGUGCGCCUAAGGGCUUCCAAGAAAAACCUCUAAACUUCAGGUAAUAAGUACCCGUACCGCAAACCGACACAGGUAGUCGAGGAGAGAAUCCUAAGGUGCUCGAGAGAUUCAUGGCUAAGGAAUUAGGCAAAAUAGACCCGUAACUUCGGGAGAAGGGUCGCCACGCUUACGGCGUGGCCGCAGUGAAGAGGUCCAGGCGACUGUUUAUCAAAAACACAGGGCUCUGCAAAAUCGUAAGAUGAAGUAUAGGGCCUGACACCUGCCCGGUGCUGGAAGGUUAAGAGGAGAUGUUAUCUUCGGAGAAGCAUUGAAUUGAAGCCCCAGUAAACGGCGGCCGUAACUAUAACGGUCCUAAGGUAGCGAAAUUCCUUGUCGGGUAAGUUCCGACCUGCACGA
Molecule: ribosomal RNA, 1660 nt
Filed under: wastewater metagenome
Description: bacterial LSU rRNA
Rfam family: Bacterial large subunit ribosomal RNA
Source: RNAcentral